RNAcentral lists this ribosomal RNA (468 nucleotides) under uncultured bacterium. RNAcentral's name for it is "partial 16S ribosomal RNA". It matches the Rfam family "Bacterial small subunit ribosomal RNA", at positions 28 to 507 of the family's 1533-position model. The record is from RNAcentral.
GACGAACGCUGGCGGCGUGCUUAACACAUGCAAGUCGAACGGAAAGGCCCUGCUUUUGUGGGGUGCUCGAGUGGCGAACGGGUGAGUAACAAGUGAGUAACCUGCCCUUGACUUUGGGAUAACUUCAGGAAACUGGGGCCAAUACCGGAUAGGAGCUCCUGCUGCAUGGUGGGGGUUGGAAAGUUUCGGCGGUUGGGGAUGGACUCGCGGCUUAUCAGCUUGUUGGUGGGGUAGUGGCUUACCAAGGCUUUGGCGGGUAGCCGGCCUGAGAGGGUGACCGGCCACAUUGGGACUGAGAUACGGCCCAGACUCCUACGGGAGGCAGCAGUGGGGAAUAUUGCACAAUGGGCGGAAGCCUGAUGCAGCAACGCCGCGUGCGGGAUGACGGCCUUCGGGUUGUAAACCGCUUUCGCCUGUGACGAAGCGUGAGUGACGGUAAUGGGUAAAGAAGCACCGGCUAACUACGUG